Archocentrus centrarchus (flier cichlid) is the source of this 957-nucleotide RNA transcript. It is a transcript of the gene named sterile alpha motif domain-containing protein 15, with no coding region annotated. The transcript is spliced from 3 exons. NCBI's taxonomy places the organism in Eukaryota, Metazoa, Chordata, Actinopteri, Cichliformes, Cichlidae. The record is from RefSeq and is a predicted model, not a curated record.
AUCCCCGAUCUACAACCCUCAGUCGGCCUGGAUGUGAAUGCGGAGAACCGACGCGGAUAUGUGUGGAUCGACGGAAGCUGCGCGCCAUUCAUUGAUUCCAUUCGGUGUGGGCGGGACAUAACGAAUCUAAAAGCCAAUCACUCUGCGCGCUAUGCCAGCCGCCCCAAAUUACAACACACUGAUUGGCUAUUGCGAGGAAAACAAAGUCAUGGGCGCUGAGCCGUCUGUGGUGCUUGAUUGAGCCUUAAAAAACACUUUCUCGGGAACUGUGACGUUAACGUUGAGACUAAGUUGUUAAUACGGGGACCAGUGCUUUCUUCAGACACUUUAAAAACUAUUUUAAAAAUUAUUUUAUAUAUAUAAAUAUAUAAAUAAUUUUUUAUUAAAAAAAAAGAUUGUGUCGAAGGAAACGCUUGUUAACACCUACUUCCAGGUAACAGUUUCCAUGGCAACAUGCUUACAGUCAACAUGGAGUUUCUACAGUGGGACUGUCAUGAUGUUGCGAGAUGGAUUGAGUCUUUAGGAUUCCCGCAAUACAAAGCAUGUUUCACGGAGAACCUCAUAACUGGAAGAAAGCUUAUUUACGUAAAUUGCAUGUACUUGCCAAGACUGGGGGUCACAGAUAUUAAACACAUGCAGGUAUUAAGUAGAGCCAGGAGUUCUAGUUGUUGACUGUUUUAAUGCAGCCUCUGAGAUCACUCCCUCACUGAAACAGCCUCUCCCUUUAAGCCAGUUUUCCUCUGAUUUGAUUGACUGCCCCUCAUAAAUGGCUCGAGCAGCAGGUCAUCUCUGCAUGUGUGCGUGACCUGCUGGGGAUCAGAGAGACCCUGUGGAGUCGCAGCAUCGCUGACCCUCCACGGGACACCGUGGGCCUGUUCUUGGAGAAAAAGAGCCGUACGGGCGAGCGGGCGGACAGCCUCUCCUACCAGCAGUUCCUGAGGGACAUGCAUCAGUGAA